CUCUCUCUCGUUCUCUUUUCUGGUUAUUAGGUUUCCAUUACUUUGAUUUCAGAGAAGUAAUAAGUCUUAAAUCAGUAAUAUCUCUGAGAUUAAGGUUGAAUGAUUUACUGAUUUCAGAGAUCUCAAAUCCUAAAUCAAGCUCUAAUCUGAUAUCCUAGAACUGACUUAGCAGUGCCGUUCUCCACCAUGAUUCGAUCUAUCAAUGGAAGUAAACACAUUCCACCAUGAUUCGAUCUCAGUUUUUGCAUUAUAUUCUUCGAUCUAUAACCAUCUUCUUCGAUCUAUAAAUAUUUUUGGCGCUUUGAGAUUGAGCUAGUUUCGGGUUUUGUCAAAACCCAAGAAAUUUGAAAUUUUGGUAAAAAACACUUGUUCUGCGCUCCUGGUUUUGAAGGAAAAAAUUUGUUGAUUACCAUUUCCAUUAGAGUUCUCAGAGAUCUUUCUUACUCACUGAGGUUCCUCGGCUACAGUUUUUCUUUUGGUUCUCAAUCAGUUCAAUAUGAAUGCAUGCCUCAAGCUAUUUUGGGUUUGGAUGUUAUCUGUCAAGAAAAAUCUAGGUGGAACUGAAGAGAUAUGCUUUCAUUUUAAAUUUUGUGUAGUCGGUUAUAGUUGCUGAUAUUAUUGGUCCUCUAAUCCAUCUGCUUCAAAAUGCUGAGUUUGAUAUCAAAAAGGAGGCUGCUUGGGAAAUCUCAAAUGCAACUUCUGGGGGAUCCCAUAAGCAGUUCAAGUACUUCGUGGCUAGUUAAUUUGAUUUGGCUUCUAAACUGUAGUUCUAGUUAUGCCUGACAGGCAGUUGGAUGUGCAAGGGAUGAAAGUUAAAAGCUGGAAUAAUGAGCCUGUUGCUGGACAAGUUGUUGCUCUAACUUUGUGUCACACACGAGAGUUGGUGUACCGGUGGUUUGGAGAUGCUGAAAAGCUUACCAAGGCUCUUUCCUCUUUUGCUAGCAAGUUUUCCCCUGUAACUAAAUUUGUCUAUGAGGUUGACAGUUCGCUUGGUGCCCGAGGUGGUGGCUAUGAACAUGAGGCAACUAGAAAAUGAGAAAUGGUCGUCAUGGCAUCUUGGGAUGGACUGAGGUCGAAAGACAGCCAAAGAAUCCUUGUUCUCGGUGCCACGAAUAGACCAUUUGACCUUGAUGAUGCUGUUAUGCGUUGUUUGCCAAGAAAGCUUUUGUGAAGUUUCUUUAACUGAGAGAAGUGGCAUUUGCUUGCUUCGGUUAGUGUUUUUAUCACCUUGCUUGGUGCUGACUUUACGAGAAUGGAAUCUUUCGGCAAAGUUGAAGAGUUUGUGGAGACUCUGUUAAGUAAUAGUUAUUUUUUUCUUUAAAUGAAGUUUCCUCGCUCGUUUGAUAAUGGUAUGUUUUUAUUCUUAUUUGAUAAGUCGAAAUCUAUUUGAUGAACAUGUUAGUGAACUAGAUAGAAGUUGGCAAAAGGCUUCCAGGUGCAUCCGCAAGACUUAACACAUGCAAAAUUCUCAAACGUAGGUAGAAGAUAACGGAGAAGAACAUGGAACCCAAGGAGAAGAGGCUGUUGAUGUUGAUGUUGAUUCUACAGAUGGCGCUAUUCUUGUCAACAGUAAUGAAGCUGAAGAAGAAUGGGAUACAACUAAUGAAGGAACCUUAUCAUCCUAAAAGCAAUUGGUUUGGCUAAAUAGGUCGCAGAUAUGAGCAGUAAGUGCGACUAUUUACAAGGCUGGUUAUGAAGCAACAAGAAGCUAUACUUGUUUGAGCAUGUAGGUAAUGAAUGUUGAGCUUGUCUCCAGCCUUGUGCCUUUAAGAUUGUAUCUACUACUGCUAUACAGAAUAAGUCUUUAGUUUAUGAUUUCAUGAGUUGCCUAAGUUCUAUGAUGGUUGGUGUUUAUAAUUCAAUGUAUGAAAUGACUAUGUAUUGCCAAA
This is an RNA transcript of Papaver somniferum (opium poppy), 1889 nucleotides long. It is a transcript of the gene named katanin p60 ATPase-containing subunit A1-like, with no coding region annotated. The record is from RefSeq and is a predicted model, not a curated record. The transcript has 9 exons. NCBI's taxonomy places the organism in Eukaryota, Viridiplantae, Streptophyta, Magnoliopsida, Ranunculales, Papaveraceae.